CCAGACCUCUUAGGUGGAUUGGGACAGUUCUGCUUUCUGUCCUGAGAGUCAGAAUUAAAGAUUGAGAAGCAGCAUUUAGUUUUCAUGCACCAUUUAAAUGGAACAAAGUCCCAGAAAGCUGCAGGUCCGCUGCAACUCUCAGAAGACUUUUUUG
Etheostoma cragini (Arkansas darter) is the source of this 154-nucleotide long non-coding RNA. RefSeq lists it as uncharacterized. The record is from RefSeq and is a predicted model, not a curated record. Lineage: Eukaryota; Metazoa; Chordata; Actinopteri; Perciformes; Percidae. The transcript has 3 exons.